Molecule: transfer RNA, 72 nt
Filed under: Phaeobacter phage MD18
Lineage: Duplodnaviria; Heunggongvirae; Uroviricota; Caudoviricetes
Rfam family: tRNA
About the family: Transfer RNA (tRNA) molecules are approximately 80 nucleotides in length. Their secondary structure includes four short double-helical elements and three loops (D, anti-codon, and T loops). Further hydrogen bonds mediate the characteristic L-shaped molecular structure. tRNAs have two regions of fundamental functional importance: the anti-codon, which is responsible for specific mRNA codon recognition, and the 3' end, to which the tRNAs corresponding amino acid is attached (by aminoacyl-tRNA synthetases). tRNAs cope with the degeneracy of the genetic code in two manners: having more than one tRNA (with a specific anti-codon) for a particular amino acid; and 'wobble' base-pairing, i.e. permitting non-standard base-pairing at the 3rd anti-codon position.
Source: Rfam by way of RNAcentral
GGGUCCUUAGCUCAGAGGUAGAGCACCUGCUCGACACGCAGAAGGCCGCUGGUUCGAUCCCAGCAGGACCCA